GACAGAGGGUGCAAACGUUGUUCGGAAUUACUGGGCGUAAAGCGUGUGUAGGCGGCCAUGUAAGUCAGGUGUGAAAGCCCCGGGCUUAACCCGGGAAGUGCACUUGAAACUGCGUGGCUUGAGUAUCGGAGAGGUUGGUGGAAUUCUCGGUGUAGAGGUGAAAUUCGUAGAUAUCGAGGGGAACACCGGUGGCGAAGGCGGCCAACUGGACGAAUACUGACGCUGAGACGCGAAAGCGUGGGGAGCGAACAGG
Molecule: ribosomal RNA, 253 nt
Filed under: uncultured bacterium
Lineage: Bacteria
Description: partial 16S ribosomal RNA
Rfam family: Bacterial small subunit ribosomal RNA
Source: RNAcentral